GACGAACGCUGGCGGCGUGCCUAAUACAUGCAAGUCGAACGCAGAGGGAGGAGCUUUCUUCUCUGGAUGAGUUGCGAACGGGUGAGUAACGCGUGGGUAACCUGCCCGUUAGCGGGGGAUAACUAUUGGAAACGAUGGCUAAUACCGCAUAACAGUUGAUGUCGCAUGAUAUCUACUUGAAAGUUGCAGUUGUAUCACUACCAGUUGGACCUUCGGCGGUUUAGGUAGUUGGUGGGGUAACGGCUCACUAAGGCGACGAUACAUCGCCGACAGGAGAGGGGGGUCGGCCAGCCUGAGAGUGAGACCCGGCACAGACGCCUUCGGGAAGGGGCAGUAGGGAAACGUGGGGAAGGGGCGGAAGUCUUACCGAGCAACGCCGAGUGAGUAAAGAAGGUUGUCGGGUCCGAAAGCACGGUUGUCAGGGAAGAAAGAGUGUGAGAGUGGAACGUUCACAGUGUGACGGUAACUGAUCAGAAAGGGACGGCUAACUACGUG
This 495-nucleotide ribosomal RNA is filed under the name uncultured bacterium. RNAcentral's name for it is "partial 16S ribosomal RNA". It matches the Rfam family "Bacterial small subunit ribosomal RNA", at positions 28 to 507 of the family's 1533-position model. The record is from RNAcentral.